Molecule: signal recognition particle RNA, 312 nt
Filed under: Candidatus Bathyarchaeota archaeon
Lineage: Archaea; Thermoproteati; Candidatus Bathyarchaeota
Description: signal recognition particle sRNA
Rfam family: Archaeal signal recognition particle RNA
Source: RNAcentral
GGUGGGUCUUAGGCGGGGGGCUAGGGGUCCCCUGAACCGUAAACCCUCUACAGGACGGGCUGACAGCGGAGGGUGAGGCGUUCAAGGCUGCCGAGACCUUCACUUCCGAGACGAAGACUACCCGUCUCUUGGGGCUGGCGGUCGUUAGGCUACUUCCGUAGGGAAGCUGUCUCUGAUGUUUACCAGGCGAACUCGGCCAGGCCCGGGAGGGAGCAACCUAAGUCUGGACGUUCAGCGCUCAGGGGGGUGCGGGUACGAGUUUAGGACUUGAAGGUGCGGCGGAUUCUGGACGUCGAACCUCUGUGACCCACU